GAUGAACGCUAGCGGCAGGCUUAAUACAUGCAAGUCGUGGGGCAGCAGGACUGUAGCCAUACAGUUGCUGGCGACCGGCAAACGGGUGCGGAACACGUACGCAACUUACCCGGAACUGGGGAGUACCCCGGGAAAACCGGGCUAACAACCCCAUAGUAAAAUGGAUUGGCAUCCCUUUAUAAUUAAACCUCCGUGGGUCGGGGUGGGGCUUGGGGCUGAUCAGGUAGUUGGUGAAGGUAACGGUGCACCAAGCUUACGAUCAGUAACUGGGGUGAGAGCACGACGAGUCACAGGGGCACUGAGACACGGGCCCGAGUCCUACGGGAGGCAGCAGUAAGGAAUAGUGAGCUAUGGAGGCAACUCUGACCCAGCCAUGCCGUGUGGAGGAUGAAGGCCCUCUGGGUUGUAAACUUCUUUUAUAGGGGACGAAACCUGUGUAUUCUUACGCAGUUGACGGUACCCUAGGAAUAAGCACCGGCUAACUCCGUG
This 489-nucleotide ribosomal RNA is filed under the name uncultured bacterium. Its description in RNAcentral is "partial 16S ribosomal RNA". It matches the Rfam family "Bacterial small subunit ribosomal RNA", at positions 28 to 507 of the family's 1533-position model. The record is from RNAcentral.